This 343-nucleotide long non-coding RNA is filed under the name Anas platyrhynchos platyrhynchos (common mallard). RNAcentral describes it as "lncRNA (ENSAPLG00000029361.1)". Lineage: Eukaryota; Metazoa; Chordata; Aves; Anseriformes; Anatidae. The record is from RNAcentral.
AGGAAACCUAUAUUUGAGGGAGAAAGGAUGAGUGAAGAUCAAUAAUUACAACUGGCUUCAUUGGAAUAUUUAUUCUACUUGGAAAAUUAUUUAUUUUUAACGAUUUAUUUUUAGCUGAUACUUAUUCUCAGGAUUUUGAGUCCUUCAAAAAUAAAAGAAAUGAAGUUCAUGAGUUUUUGUAGCAUCCAUUCUGCUGAAAACCCCAAGUGAAUUCUAGGCAGAAGGAUUGCAUGGCUCAGCAUACUCCUUUGUUCUCUAGCCAGGGAGACAGUAAGCAAAAUUGUCAGUUUUCAUUGGAUCAUUGUCUAGCAUUACAGGAGUGAAAUGAGGGAGGAAGCCUAGA